Molecule: ribosomal RNA, 430 nt
Filed under: uncultured bacterium
Lineage: Bacteria
Description: bacterial SSU rRNA
Rfam family: Bacterial small subunit ribosomal RNA
Source: RNAcentral
GUGAGGAAUCUUGCGCAAUGGGUGAAAACCUGACGCAGCGACACCGCGUGGGGGACGAAGGCUUUCGGGUUGUAAACCCCUUUUGGGAGGGAAGAAAGUUUAUCCGUGAAUAGCGGGUAGAUGUGACGGUACCUCCAGAAAAAGCCACGGCUAACUCUGUGCCAGCAGCCGCGGUAAGACAGAGGUGGCAAGCGUUGUUCGGAAUUAUUGGGCGUAAAGCGCGCGUAGGCGGUUGGGUCAGUCCCAUGUGAAAUCCCCCUGCUCAACAGGGGAACGUCGUGGGUGACUGCCCGGCUAGAGGAUGGGAGAGGAGAGCGGAAUUCCCGGUGGAGCGGUGAAAUGCGUUGAUAUCGGGAGGAAGGCCGGUGGCGAAGGCGGCUCUCUGGAACAUUCCUGACGCUGAGGUGCGAAAGCGUGGGUAGCAAACAGG